GACGAACGCUGGCGGCGUGCUUAACACAUGCAAGUCGAACGGUAAGGCCCUUUCGGGGGUACACGAGUGGCGAACGGGUGAGUAACACGUGGGUGAUCUGCCCUGCACUUUGGGAUAAGCCUGGGAAACUGGGUCUAAUACCGGAUAGGACUACGCGAUGCAUGUCGUGUGGUGGAAAGCUUUUGCGGUGUGGGAUGGGCCCGCGGCCUAUCAGCUUGUUGGUGGGGUGAUGGCCUACCAAGGCGACGACGGGUAGCCGGCCUGAGAGGGUGUCCGGCCACACUGGGACUGAGAUAUGGCCCAGACUCCUACGGGAGGCAGCAGUGGGGAAUAUUGCACAAUGGGCGCAAGCCUGAUGCAGCGACGCCGCGUGGGGGAUGACGGCCUUCGGGUUGUAAACCCCUUUCAGCACAGACGAAGCGUAAGUGACGGUAUGUGCAGAAGAAGCACCGGCCAACUACGUG
RNAcentral lists this ribosomal RNA (464 nucleotides) under uncultured bacterium. Its description in RNAcentral is "partial 16S ribosomal RNA". It matches the Rfam family "Bacterial small subunit ribosomal RNA", at positions 28 to 507 of the family's 1533-position model. The record is from RNAcentral.